Molecule: ribosomal RNA, 305 nt
Filed under: uncultured bacterium
Lineage: Bacteria
Description: bacterial SSU rRNA
Rfam family: Bacterial small subunit ribosomal RNA
Source: RNAcentral
UGCCUACGGGACGCAGCAGUGGGGGAUAUUGCACAAUGGGGGGAACCCUGAUGCAGCGACGCCGCGUGGGUGAAGAAGCGCCUCGGCGCGUAAAGCCCUGUCAGCAGGGAAGAAAAUGACGGUACCUGAAGAAGAAGCCCCGGCUAACUACGUGCCAGCAGCCGCGGUAAUACGUAGGGGGCAAGCGUUAUCCGGAUUUACUGGGUGUAAAGGGAGCGUAGGUGGCAGGGCACGUCAGAUGUGAAAACCCGGGGCUCAACCCCGGGAGUGCAUUUGAAACUGUCCGGCUGGAGUACAGGAUAGGU